RNAcentral lists this ribosomal RNA (253 nucleotides) under uncultured bacterium. RNAcentral describes it as "partial 16S ribosomal RNA". It matches the Rfam family "Bacterial small subunit ribosomal RNA", at positions 524 to 776 of the family's 1533-position model. The record is from RNAcentral.
UACGAAGGGGGCUAGCGUUGCUCGGAAUCACUGGGCGUAAAGGGCGCGUAGGCGGCUUGGCAAGUGGAUGGUGAAAUCCCUCGGCUUAACCGAGGAACUGCCGUCCAAACUGCUUCGCUUGAGACCGGGAGAGGUGAGUGGAAUUCCCAGUGUAGCGGUGAAAUGCGUAGAUAUUGGGAGGAACACCAGUGGCGAAGGCGGCUCACUGGACCGGUACUGACGCUGAUGCGCGAAAGCGUGGGGAGCAAACGGG